GACGAACGCUGGCGGCGUGCUUAACACAUGCAAGUCGAACGGAAAGGCCCUGCUUUUGUGGGGUGCUCGAGUGGCGAACGGGUGAGUAACACGUGAGUAACCUGCCCUUGACUUUGGGAUAACUUCAGGAAACUGGGGCUAAUACCGGAUAGGAGCUCCUGCUGCAUGGAGGGGGUUGGAAAGUUUCGGCGGUUGUGGAUGGACUCGCGGCUUAUCAGCUUGUUGGUGGGGUAGUGGAUUACCAAGGCUUUGACGGGUAGCCGGCCUGUGAGGGUGACCGGCCACAUUGGGACUGAGAUACGGCCCAGACUCCUACGGGAGGCAGCAGUGGGGAAUAUUGCACAAUGGGCGGACGCCUGAUGCAGCAACGCCGCGGGCGUGAUGACGGCCUUCUGGUUGUAAACCGCUUUCGCCUGUGACGAAGCGUGAGUGACGGUAAUGGGUAAAGAAGCACCGGCUAACUACGUG
This 468-nucleotide ribosomal RNA is filed under the name uncultured bacterium. RNAcentral's name for it is "partial 16S ribosomal RNA". It matches the Rfam family "Bacterial small subunit ribosomal RNA", at positions 28 to 507 of the family's 1533-position model. The record is from RNAcentral.